Molecule: non-coding RNA, 2227 nt
Organism: Myodes glareolus (Bank vole)
Lineage: Eukaryota; Metazoa; Chordata; Mammalia; Rodentia; Cricetidae
Source: RefSeq, a predicted model, not a curated record
GGCAGGCCUCCCAUGGUAAUCAACAAAGGAUGGCACAUCAAGUUGAGGCAGAACCAAGCUCCAUCCCCUGCAUCAAAGAUGGGAGAGGCAACCCAGCAUGGAGAAUGGGAUCUCAACAGCUAGCUCAAGCACCAAGGACAGGUCCUGAUCGCACUGCUAGGAUCCUCACAAGCAGACCAAGCUGCCCAACUGUAACACACAUACAGAGCUGAGCUGCACACUCUCGUUCAUAUGUCUCUGCCUCCUGACUGUGGACACAAUUUGACCAGCCCUGACGUACUGCUGCAGCUACAACUUCCCUGCCAUGAUAGAUGGUAACCUUACAAACCACAAGCAGUAACUAAAGCAUCAGAUUUUCCUACCCUUCGUUCUUCAGCAAGCAAUCAGCCACCAAGCUGAUUGGCCCAACUUCUCAACCACAAGACCUCCUCUCAACAGGGUGCUGCCCAUUGACUCGGAAACUGUGAGCCACAAAACCUGGAAACUUUCAAGGAACCAGUUCAGUGCUAUUAAUAGGGCCCUGGUCGAAUGCCAAUAGGAGUAAGUAGUGUCUCAAACAGCUUCAGACAUAGUCACUAGGAGAGAAGAGUUUGCUUGUUUGUCAGGAUCUCCACUUGUAUCUCUCACAAAAAUCAUCUUGUACAAAUCAUUCAGGUUUUCUAAUCCGAAGUGACAGUGACCACCACUGGGAGGCUGUCAAAAUGUCUGGGCAUCCCCAGAUAGGAUGUUCUGCUUAUGAACUACGUGCCUCUGCUACCCAGCUCCAGAUGGAAACAGAAUCUGUCCAGGAGCCCUUUGCAAUGCUGGAAAACUCAUCCCAAGGGAAAAUCCUUCCUGGGGCCUGCCACUGGAUUUCAGAAAUCUCUCCCAAACUGAUGGUCAAUGCUGGAUUUUGAGUGAGCAAACAGUAUUGAUGACAGAGUUCCAAGGGCUGGAUGGAUUGAUUAGCUAGCUACAGGCUAAAACUGAAACUUGACCUCAAGGUCUUGGGAUUUGAAAGCCUCCUCACAAGGUCCAGAUAGGUGUGUUAUAAGUGGGACUUUGUGAGGGGAUCUAGGAACUGGGAUGGUUUUCAUGCCUUUCUCAGAUGACCACUUGGACUUUUUCAUGAUUUACUGCCUUAAGGGCAGUCUUGCAGAUACUGACCAGGAGGCAAGUUGGAAAUUGAUUCCUAGCUAGGAUGCCCCUGGUGUAUUGUAAUUCUAUUUAGAGUCCUCAUUAAGGACUGCCUCAGCCCUGACUGGGUGGGCAGCCUAUAGCUUGAGUGUGUGCCAGGUGUGUGUAUGCUACAGGGGGCCUACUCCUUUGUUUUCUGCCCCUCAAACUGGGUCUGGUUCCCACUUUGCAACAAACUUACAGAUCCAUCAACAGUAACUUAAAAGACAGGACAUUUAUACAGUAUAUGUGUGAGAAGACAAGACAAAAACAAAUAGGGCUUGGAGUGGAGAACAAUACUGGGAUCUAGGGUACCCUGACACAGUCAUUUGGACUGAUUAUCUAAGGGUUAUUGAGGCCAAAUUUCACUGUAAGUUUAUGCCCUUCAGGUAGGGUGCUAGGUGUAGAGGCUGGGGGCUUUCUAAGAGGCAAACCAAGAGGAAGUGAGAGGGUAUGGAAGAUACCAUUCAUAUGGAUGAGAGAAGGAAAAUGGCCUGUAGUCAUGGGCAUCACCAAGACUUAGAAAGUACCAAACUACUAAGUGGGCCAUCACCACAUUCACCAAGAAUCAGAGGCUUAGCCUGGCUAAGCCAGAGGAGAGACUCAGAGCCUAGUACCAGGGCUUUUAUAGAGUCCAGAAGGCAAGGAUAAAAAUUGAGCUCUGGGGGGUCUCAUCCAUGGGGAAGAGUCAAGAAUGGAGUCACAAAACUACAAGGGCCUAGAGGAGUUGUGGCAACUGCCCUUACCUCUAUUACUUGUCCAAAGUGGACAAGCAGGACACAAAGGAAGUGGAAUGCUGAACUUGGCCAAGACAAGAACCCAGGACCAUCUGCCCAGGAGCGGCAUCACUCACAGUGGGAUGGGCACAAUUAAGAAAAUUCCCCACAGCCCUGCACACAGACCAAUCCGAUGGAGUUGGCCUGUUUGCCUAUGUUGGAACACAGUCAAAAGAAUAAUGCAUGGUGAACAAUGCCUUGGAGACGGAUGACAGACGCUUCAAGAAAAAAGUCAGAAGAUCUUACAGCUCAGAUCCUUCAUCCGACGAUGGAUGGCGAUACAGACGGAGACCCAC